GGAGGAAUACCCAAGUCCGGCUGAAGGGAUCGGUCUUGAAAACCGACAGGCGGGUUAAACCGCGCGGGGGUUCGAAUCCCUCUUCCUCCUCCA
Molecule: transfer RNA, 93 nt
Filed under: Neobacillus niacini
Lineage: Bacteria; Bacillati; Bacillota; Bacilli; Caryophanales; Bacillaceae
Also listed under: 9 other names
Description: tRNA-Ser
Rfam family: tRNA
About the family: Transfer RNA (tRNA) molecules are approximately 80 nucleotides in length. Their secondary structure includes four short double-helical elements and three loops (D, anti-codon, and T loops). Further hydrogen bonds mediate the characteristic L-shaped molecular structure. tRNAs have two regions of fundamental functional importance: the anti-codon, which is responsible for specific mRNA codon recognition, and the 3' end, to which the tRNAs corresponding amino acid is attached (by aminoacyl-tRNA synthetases). tRNAs cope with the degeneracy of the genetic code in two manners: having more than one tRNA (with a specific anti-codon) for a particular amino acid; and 'wobble' base-pairing, i.e. permitting non-standard base-pairing at the 3rd anti-codon position.
Source: RNAcentral